AACCCUGGUUGAAAAAAAUGAAUAGCUCCAUGACCUAUAUAUGCCUCUGUCAUGGGAGUGAUGGUCAUUCCUAGUGAUU
This 79-nucleotide small nucleolar RNA is filed under the name Erinaceus europaeus (western European hedgehog). RNAcentral's name for it is "Small nucleolar RNA SNORD86 (ENSEEUG00000023650.1)". Lineage: Eukaryota; Metazoa; Chordata; Mammalia; Eulipotyphla; Erinaceidae. The record is from RNAcentral.